CUCCGCUGCGCUCCUACAGUUGGGCCCUUCUUUCUCCACCUCCCUCCCCCUCCCGCGCGUUGCUCCGGCUUGUGUUCCCGGGUUCCCUCCCCGGCGCGUCUUUCCCGGCCCGCCCGGUGCAUUGUGGGCUGACGUCUUGGUUUGGCUGUCUAGUGACGGAGGCUGCCGGGUCCGCUGGACCCUUGCGGAGUCUGUCGGAGGCGGGCUCAAGUUCAGGGCUGGGGACCCAGACCGAGACGCGGGGAUCCAGAAAGCUGGGGAGACGCGCUGGUGGCCUGGGGCGGAGGGCUUGGGUGGGAGUAGAGGUUACACACACACACACACACACACACACACACACACACACACACACACACACACACACGAACACACGAACACACCCGUGAAAGGGCUGAAUGAUCUGGGCGAUUGAAGCUGGCUCCGCACCCCCGCACUUCCGGGAGACAGAGCGACGCGGGUUAAUAUGGUUGUGUUCGCCCCGGGUGCGGGAGCGGCAAGUGGGUUGAAGUUGAGCGGGUUUGAGAGUGGCCCUCCCACGCCGAGUGCGCAUGGAAGUUUAGUUUCGGAGAAGGAUCUGCGCCGCAGUGUGCUGUGCUGGAAACCAGAGAUUUGCUGUGCUCGGAAUGAAUUCACCAGGGUCCCCGGCACAACACUUCAUUUUCUGGGGACGUGCCGGGAGGGGUUCGCUUUACCUCGGAGGGACCCCCUUCUAGGUGUGAAAGAUGCCACCCCGGCUCCUUGGGGUAUGGAAAGCAACAUAUAAAGGUUCGAAACUCAGGAAACCCCAGCGCUCGCCUGCACUAGCACAUACACACAGCCCCGCGCACACUCAGUUCGCGCCCGCCCUUCCUCCCUCCCUGAUUUGCUUCUGGGAAAACAAGCCUUGAGAGCUGCGGACUCGCCCCGAGUCACGGUGCUUAAGCAGGAGUCCCUGGUAGAAAGACUGAAAAAUCCCCUCCCCGCUCGAUGGUGGAUUCAUAUCCUGUGCGGCCUCUAGGAAGCGCUAGACACAUCUAUCUUGGGAGGCAUACAUUUUUACCUAGACUUUUCGUGGAAGGAAAUGGUCCCAGAAAGUUCAUGCGUCUUGCUUGGGGUAUACAGACAGCUGGAAAGUGAGCUCAGGCUUGCUUCAGAAAGUCACACAUCUUCCCAUGUCACCUGACAAUACAAGGGACUUCAAGGACAUACAGAAGAACAGAGUCCUUGGUCUCUGAAUGACCCUGUGGAAGGAUACUCACUGGCCAGAAGUAGUCCUUCCAGACUUUGAAUGACAAAUCAACUUCAUUGUGCUGGUCCACUGGGAUUUUGGAGUAAAGAUGGCAAUAUCUUCUAAUUCCACUUGGUGUUUAGGAUGCCCUUCAUAAGAAGAAACCCUGGGUCAAAGUUGAGGCUUAUGUUCUGGCUUUCCCAGCUUGAAAAGAAAGAAACUUGUAUACUGUCACCUUCCUAUUGAGGGUGCAAACUUCAUGAGGUAUGUUAGGUAUGUGUUUGUCUUUUUCUGUUUCUCAUCUUUGAGUGGGUGUUUAUUGAAAUGCCAGGUGCUUUUCAGUUGUAUUUCUGAAUGCAAGCAGUACAUAUUGUUAAACAUUUUAUUAAUAUAUUCAAUAUUUUUGAGUGUUUAUUGCAUUUUAGCAACUGGUAAUCAUUGCUAAGCAAGAGCUUCUCGGCAUGCCCAUUGGAGGAGGUAUAGCAAGGGAAAUGGAUGAGAGAGAAGACAGGGUGAGGCCAGCCUGAUAGUGUUCUGAGUUACAGGAUUCCUGUGUGGAAGGGCCUCUCUGCUAAGGAAAGAGGUUGAAGAAAGUGCUUUGGAAAAACUGGUUAAUCAGCAGAAACUUCCAAAGUAGGUGGGAAUAGCUGGAAGAAGAGGAGACGUCAGAGAGGACGUAUUCUAGGAAGAGGGGAUGUAGAUGUUACGGACCAGGGCAUAUUUGGAGCUGUAAAGGAGGGGUGAGGUGGAGGGACUUGGAAUAGAUACAUCUGUGCACAUGCUUAAAAGCCUUGGUAGGCUUUAUAAUGUGGUCAAGCACCAUAUGAAAAGUGUUUAUUUUCCUAGGAGAAGAUGUACCACAGCCAUCAGGAUGUAGCCAUUUGUGUAGUUUCUACUUUAUUGUGUUAUGCUCUUUGUUUCAGAGUUUUCUACAGUGAACAUGCUUUACACUUGCAGAUAGAUAGAUAGAUAGAUAGAUAGAUAGAUAGAUAGAUAGAUAACCCCAACAUGUUUUCCAUCUGAUUAGUUGUGAUCCUAUCACCUGGCCCUUGAAAGAAGUCCUCUGGAAGAGCUGAGGCACAGAGAUGAUUUCCAGUGAAGCUCAAAGUCGUUCAUGGAGAUGUUAUUGGAUUGCGCUGGGGACCGCAGUUCCUUGAUAAUGAGUAAUUGUUUGCUCAAGCUUUAGCCAAGUGUAAAUAUAAAUAUAACCGGGAUGGUUUACCCGUCCAUUGCCAUCCAUGCACUACUGUACCGAGUGCUGUGGCUGACGUGAGAACUGAAUGCAUGGAGCUGCAAUGGUGGACUCCAGGCCUGCUUCGUCAUCGUCAGAUAUGUCAUUUAACAGCUGAGCCUCGCUUUCCUCACAUGAAAAAUGAUUGCGAUGAUUGAUAUUUACCUCAGAGAAUUUAAAUGGGACUGCCACCGUACCUAUGGGAAAGUCACUGCUGAACUGGUGACAUUUCUGUAUAUAUGUAUGUUAUUUAGUGUUUAUAUAUUUAUACGUGGAUUCCUGAAAUAGCAGUUCCGCAGAGUUGAGCAUUAGAAAACAGCUGGUCUUUUGCAAGGCCCAGUUUGAGGCAGACCAUACAAGCUGCUAGAAUACCCUGGCCACAGUGUUAAGACAAAACUGAAAGAAACACAAACUGAAAGAGAUUUGAAUGAGGAAAUACACCCACACUUACAUGCUAACAGCUAAUAGGGGACUUUACUUUGAAGCUAGCCAAGGUUGCUUGACAGAAGGCUGAGAAAAGAUGAGGCUGCUGAGUGAAGCCAGAGAGAUUAUGCUCAAAGUCAAGUAGAUACCAUACAAUAAGCUUUUCCAAGGUCUAUCAUCUUGGGAGGAAAAACAAACCAAACCAAAACCCUUAUAUUGCUGUCUUCCCACUGGUCAGCAGACUUUCAGUAACUCUGCCUUGCUGUAAGGUGCAUCACAGUGUUGUGCAUUAGAGCAGUGUGGGCCACACAGGCAACUGGCAUGUUUCAAACUUCCACAGAUUUCUUGGCUUCAUUAUCAGGAGAAGUAUGCGAUCCCAUAGGUAAUGUUCAGUAAGAGAUGUAUCUGUCCUGCCCCGUCUCAGACUGAUCACGUUCUGCCCUCUGUCUCCUUGGCUGUAGGGCUCCUCUUCACUGGCUGUGAACUCCUUAAGUAAGGUUCCUGAUGUUCAUGUUUGUUCUCUAAGGUUGAGCACAGGGUCGGUCCCUGGAACAGAGCCGUUGCAUUGCAGUUGAACUUCUAGUAGCCAAGGCAAACCUCUGGACCCUCUGUGGUAGCACCAGGAUCCACCAACAGGCAACACAAGCUGAGGCCCGGAGGCUUCUGUGGGACCAUGUAUGAUUCCACUUCAUCUCCUGCAACCCUGUUGCUCUCCAAUAUGGCAAGAGGAGCAUUGGGUCUUCCUCCUUUGUUAAGACAUUUAUACCAGUUGAGCAAGAAGUCGGUGCUAGAGCGGCAGCAGCCGGUUUGGAGCGCAGUCUCUUCCUCAUGGAACCCUGGCCGGAUCACUGGUCUUCACCACCACUGUAAACUUCUAAAUUCCCUCUUGUUAAACAAAUUAGAGUGGGUUCAAGGUUAUAUUUUGAUAUUAAUAGUUUUACCCUCAUCGCCCCGUGAUCAAAGAGAAAAGGGUAAGGGGACAACUAUCAGCUGGAACUGUAGUACACUUUCCUUCUCUUACAGACCUAGUGCUUCCAAUGCGCCCUGGCUGUCUCUCCACACUCUCAAGGUCUUCUUCACUCAUCUUCUUGGCUGUGUGGAUCUGAAAACACACAGCGUUUGUCCGUAAUCUCAUCCUCAUCCACACUGACUGUGGAUAACCGGAUGUGUUUUGUGAGGCCCCUCAGUCUCAACAUGGUUUUACAGACUCGGUCCUAAGCAGAUAAAACAACUAAGCUUCACAGAGGUGAGGUAACUUCCUCUGCCAUCCAGGUGGAUGGUCAGGGUCAGGAGCCUCGUGAGUGAGAACAACAGGUCUGUCGAGUUCUGCAGGGCUGAGCUGUUUAUCAUUGCGGAGGACACUCAUCACUGUGCUAAUUACAUUAAUUGCUGCCCACUCUGAGGCUAGCUCCUUCCUGCAAUGGCCCAAGACUGUAAUUACAGGUUGGAUUGGUUGGAAGUUGGUUGCUCUCUACCAUGUAGGGGAAAGGUCAAGACUAUGAACAUUGCUCUUCAUCAGACGCCUUACUGGAAGCAGAGAGGAAGGAUGAGGGUUCCUGUGGUAAUCUCAUGAUUCUCUAGAAGCAGGUGCUCUCCUACCCUCAUUCUGUUUGAGGGAGCCUGGUCAGCUGCUUGGAGUCCAAGAGCUAGCGGGAGAGGAGACAGUCUGAAAGCAGGAACCAUCAGAAGUCAUCCUUAGUGCCCAUAACAUAGUACCCCUCACCAGGACACUGCUCUGUCUGACACUGAAGUAUUGGCAGGGUCGGGCAAGGUGCCAACAAGUGGGUUUUGUCUAUCCCUAAAUGAUGACUGCUUGAGAUCUCACCUGCUCUGCCUUCCUUCCUGAGAUUCCAAGAGAAAUUGCUUGGAAGUGUAUUAAAUGCAAACUAAGUCAGAUGUAAGCCAUGGUGUUUUUCUGUUUGAUCUGUUAAGAGGUAAUUUGGAGACUACUUCUGCAUACUUGUUGAACAGAGACAGAGUGGCUUUGGUAAUUCAUCAUAAUUGAGUAAGUGACUUAACUUCCACAGAAAGCAGAGGAUAAUUUGGGAAGUCACUGGCUUUGGAAUGCUGUAUGUUCAUGUACUUUAUGGGUGUGCCCAUAUCAUUUGUGUGGGUAUAAAUGUCAAUGAGUUUGUGUGUGUGUAUGUGUGUGCAUGCGUACUCAUGUAUACGGGUGUGUGUGUGUGUGUGUGUGUUCCUGUCACACUUCCUGCCAGAGUUCAAAUUUGAAUGUCCGCUGAAAACCAUGUGUUAAAAACUUGGUCCUCAGCCUGAUGCUACCGGAAGAUGCAUCUAGAAGUUCCUUCAGUAGGUGAGGUGUAGUGGGGCACGCUCUAGAAGAGGAAGGGGGAAAUGGGUACAUUUCUCUUUUUGUCUUUUCCAUAAGGUGAGUGGACUUCUUUGGAUAAGCACUCCUGCCAUGCUGUUCUGUGUCACAGUCACAAGACAAGGAAGCCAAUCAGUACCAGACUGAAACCCCCCAAACUGUGAGCCCUCCUUCAGACUGACUUGCCAGCACUCUUCUUAAAGCAGAAAGCUGACUAGCACACCCACCAACCUUCUAUGAACGAGAUUUGAGCUCUGUUCUACUAAUCUUAAUGCAUUCUAUAAUUACAUAGGGAAGUAAGGAUAUUUGGAAGUAGACCAGAGUGUAUCUUGGUUCCGCCUUUAUUAACUGCCAUGCCUUGGACAAGUCACUUCACCUCUCUGGGCACUGAUUUCUCAUUUCUAAAAAUAGGGAUAAUAACAGUCCUGACUUGAUGGCACUCCUACAGGCUAGGAGGUUUCUGAGGGCAGGAACUAUGUUUAUAUACUGUUCUGUCCUCAGCCAGAAUGAGGUUUGAGCUGAGUGUGGCCUUGGAACUUAAGGUAAUACUUCUAUUCUGAAUCCAAUAUUUCCCAAUUGGCUGAGCAGCCUUGGAGAAAUUACCUAAUGUUCCUGAGCCUCAGAUUUCAUACCUAUGGAAUAGAGAUUUUUUAUUCCUCCUUGAAAUGAUUGCUGUGUGGUAAGGUGAGACCUACAAAGGCUUGUGUGGCAGAUGGUUAGCACAUAGGAGGCAGCUGGCAAAGCUUGCUUCUCUCAAAGUCUAGUCUCUGUCCUAGAGUGUUACCUUCACCAACAGGUAUUGAAUUUCCACUUGAUCUGAAAAUCUCGUAUUUGGAUCUUCACCACCACACCCGUCUUUCCCAUUUCUUUCUUUCCUUUCCUUUCCCUGUGUUGCCCUCUCAUUCGGCUCUGCUGUGACUGAGUUCCUCUGGACCAACAGUAGGCCCUGGAUGCUCAGCCCUCUCACUAGCCUCGCCUCCCUCAACCUCUCCUUCCACAACCCUGGGCAGAUCUUGUUCUCAUGGACUGCUUCCAGCACAGGCUACUGCCUCAGCUCUGGCCUAACUGGCUGUGUGAGCCUUCUGGUAAACUCUGGCUUUACUAUGGCAGAACAGUAGAGACAGAAAGAGGGACCUCAAAACAAACACAAGAAACUGGUUAACCCAAAAAGACGGAAUGCGCUUCUCUAACAAAUGGAACACGCACAAGAAAUGGGUUUGCAUACAUGUACCUGCUCUUUGGAGUAUAUGCUCACUGCCAACCCCUUAUUCCUCUCUUUUCUCUCCCCCAUCUCUCGCUCUUGGUUUUUUAUCUUUUUGGCUUUUCGAGACAGGGUUUCUUUAUAUGGUCCUGGCUGUCCAGGAAUUUGCUAUAUACAAGUUGGCCUUGUAUACGAAGGAUGGCCUUGAACAGAGAUCUGCCUGUCUCUGCCUCCCCAGUUGCUGGAGUUAAAGGCAUGUGCCGGCACCCCUGGCCUCUUGAUAGACUGUCCUUAUUUCUGUUUCUAAUCAUGUGACCCAUGCCCAAUUCUUUGCCACAGGACACAAGAACCUAGAUAUGGAUUCAAAUCCCUGCCUCUCACAGCAUCCCUAGUGCCAGCUCACUCUGGGUGGUAGCAACCACCAAUGGCUCCUGGCUGUGAUGGGAUAUUUCCAGAACUUUCUUGGUUUGAGGCUUUACACCUGUCAUCUCUCUUCCUUCUGAGGAUCUGCUGACUGGCACUCUUACUUCCUCAGGCCUCAGCUUACAGGCUGCCUCCUCAGAAAGCCCCCCUCCAUGGCUUAUGCAAAAUAAUACCACAAUUGCUCCUGAUCCCCUCCAUUUCGGCUUCCUUCUUCUCACCUGUAAGUGAUCCAGUAUGAAUUCAUUCAUUCAUUCAUUCAUUCACUCUAUUUUCAGUGACAGGGACUGAAGCCACAUUCUCAAUGUGUGCUAAGUCUGUGUUCUUAAUUUAUUCUUAAUUGUUUCUCUCCCUUAGGUAGCUUGUGAGCAUAUAAAAACAGGUUGUGUGAGCCUUCUGCAGACCAUGACACAUAGUAGGUGCUUAGACAAAACACACCAUGGUUUGAAUGUGUGUGACCACUUAUGAAAUAGUAGGGAGGGGCCUACAGGAUGUGUUAGGCAAUUCCAGGCCUAUAUGGUCCACUGGGCAAAUGACAAGGCCUUAAUGAAGUCAGGUCCCCCUAAAGGCUUCUGUGGAAGUCCUACUGUGUGCACAAUAGGUUCAGGAGCAGGGUCGUGGCAUCAACACAAUGAAAAGCACAGUUCCUGCUGGCUUUUGUGCUCUGUGGCUCCUAUAACAAUUACAAGCUUGGUAGCUUAAAUAGUAAAAAUUUAUUUUCUCACAAUUACUAGACACCAGGACAUCUGAAACUAAGGUGUUAGUUAGCAGGGCUGAGCUCCUUUGGUGGCCUCUCCCCUGUGGAGAGUUGUUUCACUUUCAGCAGCAUAACUUUGAAAGUGUUUUCACUGUGUCUCUCUGUAUCCCAAAUCUCUUUCUUUCUCUGAUAAGAACACACGGUUGAAUAGAAAGCUUGUUCUGAACCUCAAGUGAUCUCUCUUUGAAACCCUUCCUGCUCCAAAGACCCCACUUCCAAAUUAGGUCCCCUUCAUAAGGACUGGAGCUGAGGACCUGGCUGUAUUGUUUAACUCACCACGGUGCCUUCCAGGAAUGUCUUGUCUGAGAGUGGGACAGGCACAGCUUAGCAAUCAGUGUCCCAAGCAAGAGUGAGACCAACCAUUAUGGCCUUAGGCAGAGAUUAUUCAGUAUAUUUUAGUCAAGAUUCAUGCGCAGAGACUUUGCUGGGGAGCAGAGAUGACAAAAUGUAGCCUCUGCCCUGGGAGAGUUCAUGGGAGAAACGGAAGUAAGUCUGCCAGUGGGCCCUGGAGAGGUGGAGGUCGGCCCUGAAGCCCUGGGAGAUGAACCGGGGAGAGGAGUAAUGAGAAGGGUCUGAGGGGAGGGGUUCAGAGAGCUUCUUGGAGGAGGUGUAUGAAACACCGAGGCUCCAAGACUGAGAGAAUAGGAACCAGCUAGGCCAGAAAGCAGGGAAGGAUGAAGGCACAGAGAGUAGUAAGACUGGAUACAUAGAGGUGGAAUGGGGACCCGAGAAAAGUGGCUGCUGCAUUCCCCUCCAGGUCGCACUGGGGAGCCACAGAAAGACCUAGAGAAGGAAAUGAUAUCCCUGGACCUGCAUAUUAAAAUAAAAAGAACAGAAAGCCUGCUGAGGAAAGUGAUUUUCUAGAGGUUUGAAAUUAUAUUUGUGAUUUUUUUUAGAAAGUUUAACCUAUGUACAGAAAAGUGCUCAAGUCACAGAAGUGCAACAGAAAAUGUCCUCACAGACAUACCCACAGGCCCACAGACCAGCCUGAGGAAGGAUAUUUCUCAGGAACAACUGCAAAUGAAGCGCCCCUGUAUGUGAGGACAGCCCUGGGGUUGGGGGAGCAGGGACUAAAAGCUACAAAUGCUAAAAGCUCUGCAGUACAGACCUGACCCAUAGGUCCUUCUCUUAAGCCUGUAAGAGAGUGUGUGGCCCAGGACUGGACUGAACUGGAGCUCCCAGCAUGGUCUGGGGUGGAGAGAUUGAGGAAGGACUCUGUGUGAGCAGGGCAGAUCACUGGACUCUGCUUUUCUUGGCCUCCACUUUCUCUUCAACAGUCUGACAAUAGAAUUACUGCCCUCCUUGUGAUCGGAGUCUAGGGGGCUGACUUGGGGAUGAAAUGAAAAUGUGUUUAUGGUUUAGGGGUAGGGCCCAACCCAGGACAGCAUGUAGGCAAAAGCAGUGGCCAGGAAUUGACUCCAGAUUCCUUGGGGCUGGAGCUCUCUCUAUACAAAAGAAGGAAGUUGGAGAAGACUUUUAAUUCUUUUCUAUUUUUUUUCUCCUUAGAUUGUCUUUUUAGAAUCUUAAAACCCUGAUUCUUUUGUCUAAUUGGGGGACUUGAAGCAGUCUGUGGGAAAUGAAUGGCAUAUUUGAUAAUUAGGUAUCCAGUGUUGGAUGCUCGUCCUAGUUACUGUGAUAAACACCGUGACCGAAAUCAACGGGGAGGAGAGGGGUUAUUUGGAUGUCAGGGCAGGGAUGCAAGGCAGGAACUGAAGGAAAGACCGUGGUGGAGGAGCGCUUCUUACUGGCUUACUUCCUCUAGAUGCUCAGCUACGUUUCUCAUAGAGUCCUGGCCCAGGGAUGACAAUACCCACAAUGGCUUGGACCCUCCCAUAUUAAUCAGAAAUGAAGAAAAUGUCCUCACAGAUAUGCCCGCAAGCCAGUCUAAUGAACGCUAUUCCUCAAGUGAGGUUCCUUCCCUCCUCCCAAGUGACUCUCUCCUCAACUUAACAAAAAACUAACCAACAUAGCACACCUUUACUGAGGCCUGUCAUGUGUGAGACCCGCCCUGCACAGCAGACCACUUGGGAAACUUCCAGGUUAGUAUAAUAUUGUUCCAAGGAAUCUCUUCAUGUCUGAUGGCUGAAGAACUUCCGGGGCCUCAGAGAGAGCAGCAGUAGCUCAGAGUCUACUGGCAGGCACAUUAAGGGCUAAAAUACUGCUUAGGUAAAUACACCACUGCAAGUACCUGUAGUCAGCUCUUAGUGGUCACCCUAGAGUGGGUAGCAGUUGGUUGGAGUCCAGGAAGAUUGUGGGAGCUCCAGCAAAGGGUAUGUGUAAUUGCCAAACCGUUCUGUUUGUUAAGACAUCUGUGGAUAGCAGGAUCUGUCCCUACCUGCCUGGUUCUCCGGGGAGGGGGAGGGGCAGUCAGUCACUAGAACAGAGAUGGUCUCACACACCAUGUUCUUUCCCAGGCUGGAGUAAGUACAGAUGCUAGACUCAAGGGGAGAAGAGUGGUCAGGGAACAGUGCCAGUGCUGGUUGGCAUCUGGGUCAAGCCCAGAAGACUCAUGGAAGUCUCGGAGUGCCAUCUGCAUCUCAUCAGAGGGGCUCUGGGUUGACUUGAGUAGUCAGGCAACUCUGGCAGGCACUGGCUUUAAGGCAUUGACUGAGUUGGAUUUGAGAGCCCUAGAUAGAAUAUCGGGCUAAACACUACAUUUUUCAGAACCAGUUUUUCACCUGCUAACAAUAUCACAAGUGUGGAGGUUUAUACAUAGGCAUAUAUGCUGUUUUUAGGUACUGUAAUUCUUACUAAAUAGUAUUUGUAACUUAUAUUAGGAUGGGGGGUGCCAGGGGCUGUGUCUGUGUACAUCAAUUCCUAGUAAAAUGACCAGCAACUUCUCAGACUCUUUAGGCUGGGACUAAUGAGGGGAAGUUUGGGUCAAGCUGGUAUGCCUGGCGCCUACAGCUGUGUCUCAAAUACUGAGGAAUAAACGAAUUCCACUACUUGGGUUUUCUUCAGGCCAAGCCCACUGAAAUAAAGAAGCUGAGGUUUCCAGAAAAGUCUGCUCCUCCGGUGUAGUUGGCUGGUUGACUGACGGUGGUCCAGUGAUAACGUUAUUGGCCUCUGGGUCGCUUUACACCCCGGUGGAUCUCUGAAACUGCUGUGGCCCCUUUCAUCCAGCCCACUUUCUUCGUGGGACUUAAAAUUGAGCACAGAUCAUGGAAGAUUUUCAUCAUGGUCCUGGGAGUUGGACUCCUAGUACCUGCUAUGGCUACAUUAGGGUCCACCUGGCUUAUUGGCUGGUAGCUAGUUCCCUUGGGAACCAGAACAAUCUUCCUGCACAUUGAGUAAUCUGCUUCCUUUCCCUGCCCGGGGCAAGAGUCGGCUCAGGGAAAGUGAAGAAACCAGUUUGGGGCAGCACUAGGGUGGGCGUGGGCUGGGCACUGCCAGGAACUCUGCGGCAAGACCAGUUUCCAUUGCUUCCGGACCGGAUGCAGGGCUGCGAUCCGGGCGGAGACCAGAGAAUUGCGCCCGUGAGCGCACCUAUGAGAGCCACAUGUUAUUCAGCAGACUGAGUCAAGCAGAUUGUCCUCUCUAACGAGGCUAACUCUUCUCCAGUCAGUUGAAGAGAUGACCUGGACAGAAAGGUAGGAAGAAAAGAAUUGUAGCUUUGAAUAAGACUAUCAGCCUUUGGGGGCUUUGUUCGGUUUUUAUGUUCACAUUCACAAUGUAUCAAUGACCCUUCUUGGGAUGUUAGACCACCCAGCCUUGGACUGAAACCACAAUAUCCACUCUUCUCUAUCUUGGACUUCAGAUAUGGAUCAGAACUAAAUCAUAGACUCUUCCAAGUUUUCAACUGCUGACUCAUCUUGUAAAUCCUGGGACUUUCCUGAGUCUGUGGUAAAUGUCACAUGUGCUGACUCCUUAUAACCCCCCCCUCUCUUAUGCUAACUCACUGUAGAACCUUGAUAAACAACACAAUAGGAUCAUCUUUGUCUCCAUUUGAAUGUAACAUGGCUUCUUCAGCCAUCACCUGUUUUUAUCUGCAGAACAGUUCUCUGGAUCAGACAGAGCAGCCCUCUGAGAAUCCUCACCUACAGAAGAGGAAACUGAGGUCUAAGAGGGAUUCUAUCUGUGCUUCUAUGGCCUAGCUGCCCAGAAGUAGAACAACUUCAACCCCAAAGUCAAGGCCCUGCAGAAAGUCAGGAAGGGUGGAAGAACAGCUACUCUCAAUUUUUAAUAUAGCAUUGGCCAUCAAUUUAGAAACCUCUUGAUAUCCCCUGAGAAGAAAUAAAAGACUAAAAAUGUGGACUUAGGUAAAUCUUAUAAAACAAUAUAGAAGCAAGGUCUAGUAGAAAAGCUGUGUCUAGACUUAAAAGAAGAAAAGCAUUUACCAAUAUUCUAGAUGAAUCAUGGUCUAUUUGGGUUUGAAACAAUUUGAGAGGUUAUUCCUUUUGAUUCUUUCUUUUCACAGUAAGAACACUAAGGCCCAGGGAGGAUCUUUGGCUUGUCCCUCUGUACAGCUUGAGGGGAAGACACUGCCUGCUUAGAGGCCUCAUCUGUCAAUCCAACACUUGAUUGUCUACACUGCAUGCUGAUGCUGACGACCCAGAUGCAGACUGUUUCCUCCAUGUUCUGUCCUCAUGGACUGUCUCUUUGGAAUAUCCCAUGUUCAUAGAUAUCAUCUGAGAUGUCGCCACUCACGGCCCUGCAUUUGUAGUGAAGAUGCUUCAGCCUCAGACAAUCCUGUGUCUCCAUCCCAAUCCCUUCUUACUAAUAGGGGAAAUAUGGCCACACGUCUUGCUCUUCAGGCUCUGGAUUUUGUCAUCAUGGAGGCCCAAACACAGUAUUUAUGACUCAUGGUUUCUCUUGAGGACUACGAGAUGAAGCCGGCAACACAAUAUGGACACUGUAAAUGCUCUACAAAUUGAGGGACAAGCCCUGUAUUAAAGGGGGCCCAGAAUACAUACUGUGUUCAAGGCUAUGUUGAUGCCAGUUCUGUUGGCUCAUGAAGCUAGCAGUGAACCACUCCUGUAUACUGAAGUAGUGGUGACUGUCCCUGUUGCUGUAAGAAGCCCCUUUCUUCUCUGGUCCAUGCUUUUCCAUUUAUAAAAUGGGCACAGUCAGAACUCCUACUGUGCAGGAGCUGAUGGUACUGCUUGGCAAGCCAAGCAAAGGAAAUGAGUAUUCACCCACUUACUAUCUUAUCUCCUCACUUGCUAAGGAAAAGCUAAUAUAUGGUUGGUAGAGUUCAGUAUAUGAUAAGAUUAUCAUUUUAAUUAUCAUUGUCACCAAGUUUCCUGGGAUAGGUGAAGCUCUUGGAUGACAAAGACUUUGACAAAAAUAACGGAUCAAGCAUAUCAGAGGAGUCAGGUAUGGGAACACCUGCCUGUAAUCCCAGAACCUGGGGGGCAGAUGCAGGAGGACUGUUGUUUGAAUAGCCUGGGCUACCUACUGAGUUCUAGGCCAGCCUGGGCUGUAAAAUAAGAUGUUUGUUUUCUGUUUUGUUUUUGUUUUUGUUUUAAAGCAAACAAACAACAAUCUACACAAUGAAACAUUCACCAUGUCUGGAGUCAAAAUGGAAAAUAGCAUAAAUAAGAUUUGUAGA
Molecule: small RNA, 13116 nt
Filed under: Rattus norvegicus (Norway rat)
Lineage: Eukaryota; Metazoa; Chordata; Mammalia; Rodentia; Muridae
Description: uncharacterized LOC100911221
Source: RNAcentral